RNAcentral lists this ribosomal RNA (500 nucleotides) under uncultured bacterium. RNAcentral's name for it is "partial 16S ribosomal RNA". It matches the Rfam family "Bacterial small subunit ribosomal RNA", at positions 30 to 523 of the family's 1533-position model. The record is from RNAcentral.
AUUGAACGCUGGCGGAAUGCUUUACACAUGCAAGUCGAACGGCAGCACGGACUUCGGUCUGGUGGCGAGUGGCGAACGGGUGAGUAAUACAUCGGAACGUGCCCAAUCGUGGGGGAUAACGUAGCGAAAGCUACGCUAAUACCGCAUACGAUCUAAGGAUGAAAGCGGGGGAUCGCAAGACCUCGCGCGAUUGGAGCGGCCGAUGGCAGAUUAGGUAGUUGGUAGGGUAAAGGCCUACCAAGCCGACGAGCUGUAGCUGGUCUGAGAGGAUGAUCAGCCACACUGGGACUGAGACACGGCCCAGACUCCUACGGGAGGCAGCAGUGGGGAAUUUUGGACAAUGGGCGCAAGCCUGAUCCAGCCAUUCCGCGUGCAGGACGAAGGCCUUCGGGUUGUAAACUGCUUUUGUACAGAACGAAAAGGCUCUGGUUAAUACCUGGGGCUCAUGACGGUACCGUAAGAAUAAGCGCCGGCUAACUACGUGCCAGCAGCCGCCGUAA